This is a small nuclear RNA of Suncus etruscus (white-toothed pygmy shrew), 105 nucleotides long. The record is from RefSeq and is a predicted model, not a curated record. Lineage: Eukaryota; Metazoa; Chordata; Mammalia; Eulipotyphla; Soricidae.
UUGCUUUGGCAGCACAUAUUCUAAAACUGGAACGAUACAGAGAAGAUUAGCAUGACCCCUGUGCAAGGAUGACAUGCAAAUUUGUAAACCAAGAGACCUAAGUUU